Astatotilapia calliptera (eastern happy) is the source of this 866-nucleotide long non-coding RNA. The record is from Ensembl. Lineage: Eukaryota; Metazoa; Chordata; Actinopteri; Cichliformes; Cichlidae.
ACAGUUGUAGACUAGAAAGUGCAUUUUCUGAAGAAACUGCAGUGUGAAUGCUUGAAUCUGAAUGUAUGCACUGAAAUGAAUUAAUUGCUGAAUUUUGAGUUAAAAAUAUUGAAUGAGAUUUAAAAAAAAACAAAAAAAAAAAACGAAUUUAACCUUAAAACAAAGGUGCUGAACUGCUAAAAGCUGAAGGUUACACAGAAGAAGGAGUUGGAAAAAAACUGAAAAUGUUUUAAAUGUAAAUUAGAAAACCCUAAGAAAUGAGAAAAGAACAUUUAGAGUCAGAAAACCCUAAGAAAUGAGAAAAGAACAUUUAGAGUCAGAAAACAUCUGAAUGAAUAUUAAAAGGUCAUAUUCUUUGAAUCACUGAAUGACUCAAAUGUGAUCCCUCCACUUUGAUCCACACAGUUUAAAAAGUUUAAAUGCCUGAGCUUUGAAAGAUACGGUGUUGGAAAGAGAACAAUAAUGGCGACAAUUUGAGGGUAAAAUGAUGGCUGUAACACUGUGGACACAGCAGCAGUUGAAAGAGAAGUGCUUAAGAUGAAUCUUGGCAGAGUGAGAGAGAGAGCUCGUUAAGCAGGCAGGUGUGAGCCUGGUUGCUAUAGUGACCGCACCCAAUGGCUCCAUACACACGUACACAGACAUGCGCCUCACUUUUGCUGCUUAAAAUGAACAGAAAAGUCAGGCCGAAACAAAUCGUUCCCAAAUGAAAAGUAAAAGUCGUAUUGACAAAAUUCUUUCACCGUGAGCGACAGCAGCUUCUAGUCUACCUAAUUCUCAGUUUUCAUGUCUGUGGAGUUUAUUAUAUGGACGUGGUGACAGUGGAAAGACCCAAUGCUCUUCUGAUUUUCAAACGAACCUUCUGAGCC